UCAGGAUGAACGCUGGCGGCACGCCUAACACAUGCAAGUCGAACGGAGUUAAGAGAGCUUGCUCUUUAAACUUAGUGGCGGACGGGUGAGUAACACGUGAGCAACCUGCCUUCAGAGAGGGAUAGCUUCUGGAAACGGAUGGUAAUACCUCAUAACAUAUUGAUACGGCAUCGUAUUAAUAUCAAAGAUUUAUCGCUGAAAGAUGGGCUCGCGUCUGAUUAGCUGGUUGGUGAGGUAACGGCCCACCAAGGCAACGAUCAGUAGCCGGACUGAGAGGUUGAACGGCCACAUUGGGACUGAGACACGGCCCAGACUCCUACGGGAGGCAGCAGUGGGGAAUAUUGCACAAUGGGCGCAAGCCUGAUGCAGCGAUGCCGCGUGAGGGAAGAAGGUUUUCGGAUUGUAAACCUCUGUCAUCGGGGACGAAAAUGACGGUACCCGAGAAGGAAGCUCCGGCUAACUACGUGCCAGCCGCGGC
Molecule: ribosomal RNA, 478 nt
Filed under: uncultured bacterium
Lineage: Bacteria
Description: bacterial SSU rRNA
Rfam family: Bacterial small subunit ribosomal RNA
Source: RNAcentral